CGGCCGCGGACGCGUGGCGCAGCGCGGCGUUCAGGUCGCCGCCGGGUCCCUCGCCGAUCGUCUCGGCGCCGGUGGC
RNAcentral lists this transfer RNA (76 nucleotides) under Actinorhabdospora filicis. RNAcentral's name for it is "tRNA-Leu". The record is from RNAcentral. Lineage: Bacteria; Bacillati; Actinomycetota; Actinomycetes; Micromonosporales; Micromonosporaceae.